AACGAACGCUGGCGGCAGGCCUAACACAUGCAAGUCGAGCGAGGACUUCGGUCCUAGCGGCGGACGGGUGAGUAACGCGUGGGAACGUGCCCUUUGCUUCGGAAUAGCCCUGGGAAACUGGGAGUAAUACCGGAUGAGCCCUUUGGGGGAAAGAUUUAUCGGCGAAGGAUCGGCCCGCGUUGGAUUAGGUAGUUGGUGGGGUAAUGGCCUACCAAGCCGACGAUCCAUAGCUGGUUUGAGAGGAUGAUCAGCCACACUGGGACUGAGACACGGCCCAGACUCCUACGGGAGGCAGCAGUGGGGAAUCUUAGACAAUGGGGGAAACCCUAAUCUAGCCAUGCCGCGUGAGCGAUGAAGGCCUUAGGGUUGUAAAGCUCUUUCAGCUGGGAAGAUAAUGACGGUACCAGCAGAAGAAGCCCCGGCUAACUCCGUG
This 433-nucleotide ribosomal RNA is filed under the name uncultured bacterium. Its description in RNAcentral is "partial 16S ribosomal RNA". It matches the Rfam family "Bacterial small subunit ribosomal RNA", at positions 29 to 507 of the family's 1533-position model. The record is from RNAcentral.